AUCGCUUCAGCAGUAUAUAUAUUAAAUUGGAAUGAUACAGAGAAGAUUAGCAUGGCCCUUUGCAAGGAUGACAUACAAAUUCGUGACGUGUUCCUUAUUUUA
This is a small nuclear RNA of Suncus etruscus (white-toothed pygmy shrew), 102 nucleotides long. NCBI's taxonomy places the organism in Eukaryota, Metazoa, Chordata, Mammalia, Eulipotyphla, Soricidae. The record is from RefSeq and is a predicted model, not a curated record.